Molecule: ribosomal RNA, 3008 nt
Filed under: Salmonella enterica subsp. enterica serovar Yovokome str. S-1850
Lineage: Bacteria; Pseudomonadati; Pseudomonadota; Gammaproteobacteria; Enterobacterales; Enterobacteriaceae
Description: bacterial LSU rRNA
Rfam family: Bacterial large subunit ribosomal RNA
Source: RNAcentral
GGGUUGUGAGGUUAAGCGACUAAGCGUACACGGUGGAUGCCCUGGCAGUCAGAGGCGAUGAAGGGCGUGCUAAUCUGCGAUAAGCGCCGGUAAGGUGAUAUGAACCGUUAUAACCGGCGAUACCCGAAUGGGGAAACCCAGUGUGAUUCGUCACACUAUCAUUAACUGAAUCCAUAGGUUAAUGAGGCGAACCGGGGGAACUGAAACAUCUAAGUACCCCGAGGAAAAGAAAUCAACCGAGAUUCCCCCAGUAGCGGCGAGCGAACGGGGAGGAGCCCAGAGCCUGAAUCAGCAUGUGUGUUAGUGGAAGCGUCUGGAAAGGCGCGCGAUACAGGGUGACAGCCCCGUACACAAAAGCGCAUGUGCUGUGAGCUCGAUGAGUAGGGCGGGACACGUGGUAUCCUGUCUGAAUAUGGGGGGACCAUCCUCCAAGGCUAAAUACUCCUGACUGACCGAUAGUGAACCAGUACCGUGAGGGAAAGGCGAAAAGAACCCCGGCGAGGGGAGUGAAAAAGAACCUGAAACCGUGUACGUACAAGCAGUGGGAGCACCCUUCGGGGUGUGACUGCGUACCUUUUGUAUAAUGGGUCAGCGACUUAUAUUCUGUAGCAAGGUUAACCGAAUAGGGGAGCCGGAGGGAAACCGAGUCUUAAUUGGGCGUUAAGUUGCAGGGUAUAGACCCGAAACCCGGUGAUCUAGCCAUGGGCAGGUUGAAGGUUGGGUAACACUAACUGGAGGACCGAACCGACUAAUGUUGAAAAAUUAGCGGAUGACCUGUGGCUGGGGGUGAAAGGCCAAUCAAACCGGGAGAUAGCUGGUUCUCCCCGAAAGCUAUUUAGGUAGCGCCUCGUGAAUUCAUCUCCGGGGGUAGAGCACUGUUUCGGCUAGGGGGCCAUCCCGGCUUACCAACCCGAUGCAAACUGCGAAUACCGGAGAAUGUUAUCACGGGAGACACACGGCGGGUGCUAACGUCCGUCGUGAAGAGGGAAACAACCCAGACCGCCAGCUAAGGUCCCAAAGUCAUGGUUAAGUGGGAAACGAUGUGGGAAGGCCCAGACAGCCAGGAUGUUGGCUUAGAAGCAGCCAUCAUUUAAAGAAAGCGUAAUAGCUCACUGGUCGAGUCGGCCUGCGCGGAAGAUGUAACGGGGCUAAACCAUGCACCGAAGCUGCGGCAGCGAACGUAUCACUUAAAGCGAUUCAGCGGGUUACGAUUGACGGAGCGAAGCGACGUCAAAGCGUAUACAAAGUCGAGUCGGUUUAAGGAUACGUUCGUUGGGUAGGGGAGCGUUCUGUAAGCCUGUGAAGGUGGCCUGUGAGGGUUGCUGGAGGUAUCAGAAGUGCGAAUGCUGACAUAAGUAACGAUAAAGCGGGUGAAAAGCCCGCUCGCCGGAAGACCAAGGGUUCCUGUCCAACGUUAAUCGGGGCAGGGUGAGUCGACCCCUAAGGCGAGGCCGAAAGGCGUAGUCGAUGGGAAACGGGUUAAUAUUCCCGUACUUGGUGUUACUGCGAAGGGGGGACGGAGAAGGCUAUGUUGGCCGGGCGACGGUUGUCCCGGUUUAAGCGUGUAGGUGUGUGUUCCAGGUAAAUCCGGUUCACUUUAACACUGAGGCGUGACGACGAGGCACUACGGUGCUGAAGCAACAAAUGCCCUGCUUCCAGGAAAAGCCUCUAAGCAUCAGGUAACAUCAAAUCGUACCCCAAACCGACACAGGUGGUCAGGUAGAGAAUACCAAGGCGCUUGAGAGAACUCGGGUGAAGGAACUAGGCAAAAUGGUGCCGUAACUUCGGGAGAAGGCACGCUGACACGUAGGUGAAGUGAUUUACUCAUGGAGCUGAAGUCAGUCGAAGAUACCAGCUGGCUGCAACUGUUUAUUAAAAACACAGCACUGUGCAAACACGAAAGUGGACGUAUACGGUGUGACGCCUGCCCGGUGCCGGAAGGUUAAUUGAUGGGGUCAGCGCAAGCGAAGCUCCUGAUCGAAGCCCCGGUAAACGGCGGCCGUAACUAUAACGGUCCUAAGGUAGCGAAAUUCCUUGUCGGGUAAGUUCCGACCUGCACGAAUGGCGUAAUGAUGGCCAGGCUGUCUCCACCCGAGACUCAGUGAAAUUGAACUCGCUGUGAAGAUGCAGUGUACCCGCGGCAAGACGGAAAGACCCCGUGAACCUUUACUAUAGCUUGACACUGAACAUUGAGCCUUGAUGUGUAGGAUAGGUGGGAGGCUUUGAAGUGUGGACGCCAGUCUGCAUGGAGCCGACCUUGAAAUACCACCCUUUAAUGUUUGAUGUUCUAACGUGGACCCGUGAUCCGGGUUGCGGACAGUGUCUGGUGGGUAGUUUGACUGGGGCGGUCUCCUCCUAAAGAGUAACGGAGGAGCACGAAGGUUGGCUAAUCCUGGUCGGACAUCAGGAGGUUAGUGCAAUGGCAUAAGCCAGCUUGACUGCGAGCGUGACGGCGCGAGCAGGUGCGAAAGCAGGUCAUAGUGAUCCGGUGGUUCUGAAUGGAAGGGCCAUCGCUCAACGGAUAAAAGGUACUCCGGGGAUAACAGGCUGAUACCGCCCAAGAGUUCAUAUCGACGGCGGUGUUUGGCACCUCGAUGUCGGCUCAUCACAUCCUGGGGCUGAAGUAGGUCCCAAGGGUAUGGCUGUUCGCCAUUUAAAGUGGUACGCGAGCUGGGUUUAGAACGUCGUGAGACAGUUCGGUCCCUAUCUGCCGUGGGCGCUGGAGAACUGAGGGGGGCUGCUCCUAGUACGAGAGGACCGGAGUGGACGCAUCACUGGUGUUCGGGUUGUCAUGCCAAUGGCACUGCCCGGUAGCUAAAUGCGGAAGAGAUAAGUGCUGAAAGCAUCUAAGCACGAAACUUGCCCCGAGAUGAGUUCUCCCUGAGACUUAGAGUCUCCUGAAGGAACGUUGAAGACGACGACGUUGAUAGGCCGGGUGUGUAAGCGCAGCGAUGCGUUGAGCUAACCGGUACUAAUGAACCGUGAGGCUUAACCUUACAACGCCGAAG